AUGCUAUGCUGGAUGCCUAAAUUCCCAGCGCAUGCAUAUGGCCACGUAUCACGUAAGGCAGCCUCGGCCUGGUCAAACCGAGUAGAUAAGGGAGAGCGACUAGAUGAAAUAAACAGGUCUACGAAUUCCCGAGUCACUUCAAUCCCAAAUCCAGAGCGGAGACCGGCGGAGACCCCCCAGCGCCGGCUGACCGGCCGUAUCACCGAUGAGAAGAUCUCCUGCCGCGCUCGUCCUGGAGGAGGAGCCACCGCGGAGGUGGGUGCCGGGUGCGACGCCGUUGUAGGCGCCAUCCGCGAGCGUGAGCACCGCUGCUGCGCGGCUGGAGCGGCUGCUCGACUGCGGACUCUCCAGCGGGACGGUGGGGACGGCAGGCGCGACGGCCCGACAGUGUCCGCAUCGACAACCACAUCGCUGGCUUCGGCUUCAACAACCGCAGGGGUUGGAGACGGCAGCGCCGCGGCCUCGUCGUCGUCGUCGAUUAUGACGACCUCGAUCGGCUGGCCGUGCUCAAGUCCUGGCGCGGUGGUCGAUGGCGGCCAUGGUGCGGCCGUAAAACCUCUCCGCGAGGCUGCUCCGGCCCGCGUUGGCGUCGGCGUGUUCUGCGAGCGCCACGGGCACGAAGCCAGGGGGGCCGCGGCACGGGUGCAGGACAGGCGCGCGCAAGGGCGCGGCUGA
Molecule: ribosomal RNA, 675 nt
Filed under: Triticum aestivum (bread wheat)
Lineage: Eukaryota; Viridiplantae; Streptophyta; Magnoliopsida; Poales; Poaceae
Description: partial small subunit ribosomal RNA
Source: RNAcentral